AGUCGUAACAAGGUUUCCGUAGGUGAACCUGCGGAAGGAUCAUUACCGAGUGUCGGGCCCCCCCCACGGGGGCCCACCCUCCCACCCGUGUCUACCGUACCUAGUUGCUUCGGCGGGCCCGCCGUCUCCGGACGGCCGCCGGGGGGCGCCUCUCGCCCCCGGGCCCGCGCCCGCCGAGGACACAAACCACGAACUCUGGUCUGAUCUUUAGUGGAGUCUGAGCGGAUUGCCUCGCAAUCAGUCAAAACUUUCAACAAUGGAUCUCUUGGUUCCGGCAUCGAUGAAGAACGCAGCGAAAUGCGAUAACUAGUGUGAAUUGCAGAAUUCCGUGAAUCAUCGAGUCUUUGAACGCACAUUGCGCCCCCUGGCAUUCCGGGGGGCAUGCCUGUCCGAGCGUCAUUGCUGCCCAUCAAGCACGGCUUGUGUGUUGGGUCGUCGUCCCCCCCGCCCGCGGGGGGACGGGCCCGAAAGGCAGCGGCGGCACCGUGUCCGGUCCUCGAGCGUAUGGGGCUUUGUCACCCGCUCCGCAGGCCCGGCCGGCGCUGGCCCACGCGAGGCCACCCCCCGGGGUGGCCCCAACCUUCUUUUCUCCAGGUUGACCUCGGAUCAGGUAGGGAUACCCGCUGAACCUAAGCAUAUCAAUAAAGCGGAGGA
RNAcentral lists this unclassified non-coding RNA (654 nucleotides) under Aspergillus coremiiformis. RNAcentral describes it as "sequence contains 18S rRNA gene, ITS1, 5.8S rRNA gene, ITS2, 28S rRNA gene". The stretch from base 246 to 399 matches the Rfam family "5.8S ribosomal RNA". The record is from RNAcentral. Lineage: Eukaryota; Fungi; Ascomycota; Eurotiomycetes; Eurotiales; Aspergillaceae.